Molecule: ribosomal RNA, 579 nt
Filed under: uncultured bacterium
Lineage: Bacteria
Description: bacterial SSU rRNA
Rfam family: Bacterial small subunit ribosomal RNA
Source: RNAcentral
UCUACGGGACGCAGCAGUGAGGAAUAUUGGACAAUGGAUGGAAAUCUGAUCCAGCCAUGCCGCGUGCAGGAAGAAUGUCCUAUGGAUUGUAAACUGCUUUUGUAUGGGAGCAAUAAGGUCUUCGUGAAGGCCGAUGAGAGUACCAUACGAAUAAGCACCGGCUAACUCCGUGCCAGCAGCCGCGGUAAUACGGAGGGUGCAAGCGUUAUCCGGAUUUAUUGGGUUUAAAGGGUGCGUAGGCGGUUAUAUAAGUCAGCGGUGAAAUUUUUCGGCUCAACCGGAAACAUGCCGUUGAUACUGUAUAGCUUGAAUACGGUUGCUGUGAGUGGAAUGUGUAGUGUAGCGGUGAAAUGCUUAGAUAUUACACAGAAUAUCGAUUGCGAAGGCAACUCACAAAGCCAUUAUUGACGCUGAGGCACGAAAGUGUGGGGAUCAAACAGGAUUAGAUACCCUGGUAGUCCACACUGUAAACGAUGAUAACUAGCUGUCGGCGAUAGACCGUCGGUGGCCAAGCGAAAGCGAUAAGUUAUCCACCUGGGGAGUACGACCGCAAGGUUGAAACUCAAAGGAAUUGACGGA